RNAcentral lists this long non-coding RNA (22573 nucleotides) under Malus domestica (apple). RNAcentral's name for it is "long non-coding RNA (MDOM_LNC009948)". Lineage: Eukaryota; Viridiplantae; Streptophyta; Magnoliopsida; Rosales; Rosaceae. The record is from RNAcentral.
UACAUUUCACAAAAUGCUUGACAAAUUAUGAGAUGAAAUACCAGAAAACAAAAAUUGGAGGAUACAUUGUCCAAAAUAUUGUGCCUAAAAAAAAUUACUAAAGAUACAAGCCUGUGUACACUGCCCAACAAGAAAAUUACAGCACAACUACUAACAGAACCACCGCCGGCACAAAACCGCGAAAAGAAAAAAAAAAAACAGUAUGAAAGUUUUACUGACAAGAGAAACGUCCAUCUCCUUCGAUCUCUUCCCUCGCUGGAUAACGAAAAAUUGAACAGCGCAUGAAACAUCACAUUAACUUUGACAAUCAUUCUUCAGACUUGAGCUAUCUGCUGUUUCAAUGUCUGCAACAACUUUAGUUUGGAUUCACAGAUCCGUAGAAACUCAGACAGCACCGUACAUUUCCCAGUUAUCAGCCUUCGUGCGACAUCAGUUGGACUCCAAGACUUCAAUGCUCGGGAGAUUCUAUCACCGACCGCUGUGUCAUUUACGGAUGAGAUAUAAGCUUCUAAAAUAUGGAAAACUUGCCCAGGGCCUUCGUUCUGUCCUUUAUUCUGCAAAGAGGAGAGUAAUGUCUCCAUGUUGGUGUGUAACCCUUCAGCUGAAAGUUGGCGGCAAGGAUCAUGUUUCAUGUUUUGUUUCAGUUUGAAUGUGAGCUAUUGGAUCAUAAUCCACAUGGUAGAUUAAUCAUGUAUCUAGUCUAAGUAAUAGAAUAAGACAAGUGGCAUAAUCUCAUAGGAUGAUAACAAUGAAUGAUUAAGAUUGUAUUGCAUGUUGGUGAGUGAAGGAUCUCCCUUCCUUUCCUCAUAUAAUGGUUAAAAAUGUAUUUUGUGUGCAGAGUAUGAAAUUGGAAGAGUCAUUGUUUUGCAUCAUCUUCUCUCUAAAACUCUCUCCACCAUUGAAGAGAAUCUCCAUUGAAAUACAUAUCAAAACACACAAACACUAACAUGGCCUAAGAGCCUGGUUUCACUGUCUAAACUGGGCGUGAAAUCUGUGAGUGCGAUUGAGCUACAUCUUUGAGCUUCAAUCGAAUCUGGAAAUUGUGAUUUCUUGUAUCCAAGUCUAAUAUGGCUGGAUCUGGUAAUGUCGAGCUUAGAGUUCCAAUGUUCAAUGGAGAAAAUUACGAGUUAUGGAUUAUUCGAAUGAAAAUCAUUCUGAAAUCUCAUGGUUUGUGGGAGUUGGUUGAAAAUGGGUUUGAACCUCCAUAUCUGAAGUCUAAGGAAGCUACGGUCGACGAGACGAAGAAGGAUACGUCAAGUGAAGUGUCAUUCAGUGAAAUUCUGAUGAAGGAUGCUCGUGCGCUUGGGAUGAUUCAAGGCGCAGUCUCGGACCAAAUCUUUCCCAGAAUCGCGAAUGAAGAGACAUCCAAAUGAGCUUGAGAUGUUCUAAAGGGUGAAUUACGAGGUGAUAAACAAGUAAGAAAUGUUAAAUUUGCAAGGGUUAAGUAAAGAUUUUGAAUAUACUCGUAUGAAGGAUAGUGAAUCAUUAUCUGUAUAUCUCUCUCGAUUGUUUGAUAUCAUUAAUCAAAUGAAAAGUUAUGGAGAAGAAUUAUCUAGGGAGAGAAUUGUGCAGAAAUUACUGAUUAGUCUUCCAAAAACAUAUGAUGCAAUCUGUUCUGUGAUUGAGCAUUCUAGAGAUCUUGAAAUUAUUGAGGUUCAAGAAGUUGUGGCUUCUUUAAAAGGAUUCGAGCAGAGGCUUGAUUUACAUACUGAGUCUUCGACUGAGAGAGCAUUUGCAAGUUUAAAUGCAGCAUCUAAGGGUGCCAAAAGUGGUGGAUUUUCUGGGAAUCAGAGGUCUCAAGAGAAUUGGAAGUCAAGGGGAAAAGGUUGGGAUCAUAAACCAAACUUUGUUCAGAAGCAGAAUAACACUCAAAGAAGCUGGGAUCACAAACCCAAUUAUUCUCAGAGACAAAAUAAUACUAAAAGGAAUUGGGAUCAUAGGCCUAAUUAUGUUAAGAAGCAAAACAACUUUCAGAGUGAUUGUAAAUGGUGUGACAGGUUUCACUAUGGGAAAUGUUGGUAUGAAGGUAAACCAGAAUGCACAGGCUAUGGUAAGCCAGGUCAUUCUGUGAAAGAUUGUCAUGAGAAUAAAGGAGUGCAGAAAGUUAAUUAUGUAAAGCAGAUGGGAGAUACAGGAUCAUUGUUUUAUGCCUGUAAUGCAGUGACGGAUGUGAAAGUCAAUAACUCAUGGUACAUUGAUAAUGGUUGUAGUAACCACAUGACAGGAGAUGAAAGAUUGAUGUUCAAUGUUCAGAGAAAUUUGACUUCCAAAGUAAAGAUGGUAACUGGAGAAAUUUGUCAAGUUGCAGGAAAGGGAACCUUGGUGAUUGAGACUAAAUUGGGAAGAAAACAUAUACAAGAAGUAAUGCUUGUUCCUGGACUUGAGGAAAGCCUUCUCAGUGUAUGACAAAUGAUGGAAAACGGUUAUUAUUUGUUGUUUGGAGGAGAUGUAGUUAAUAUUUUUGAUGGUUGGUCAUUGGAUAAUUUAGUGAGGGUGCAUAUGACCAACAAUAGAUGUUUUCCUUUGACAAUGUUGCCUGCAACACAGUAUGCACUAAGAGCAUGUGUCACACAUUGCUCUCAGAUAUGGCAUAAGAUUGGGUCAUUUGAAUGAAAGAAGUCUCAAGGUACUUGAAGAACAUGAUCUGGUGCAUGGAUUGCCUAAAUUAGAAAUGUCAUCAAGUGUGUGUGAAGGUUGCAUAUUGGGCAAACAACAUAGGGACUCAUUCUCUUCUCAAUCAACUUGGAGAGCUAAAGAUCCACUAGAGUUGAUUCAUACAUAUAUUUGUGGUCCAAUGCAAGUAGAGUCUCAUUCUGGAAACAAGUACUUCUUGUUGUUUACAGAUGACUGCACAAGGAUGUCAUGGGUGUACUUUCUGAGAAACAAGUCUGAUGCAUUUGAAUGUUUCAAAAAGUUCAAGGCCAUGACUGAGUUACAAUGUGGAUAUAAGGUUAAAUGUCUCAGAAAUGAUAACAAAAAUAAUUAUAACCUUUGGAUUGUGGGGAGGAAACAAGGGAUUAAUCCUGUGCUUUUAUCUGGGCUAUCAUGUUGGAGUGAGAAUGGUGAGUUGAGAAUAAUUGGGGACUAUAUUUCCUCUCUUGAUUUUUGUUGUACUGCUUCUGUGUUAGUGGUACAAUAGCAGACUUUGAGAGGGCAAGGGUCAGAUAAUACAAGUGGAAGGUUUGCAUGUAACCCUAGCCCUACUUAGAAGGUGAAGGAUUUGUUAAUUUCAUGGUGUUGAUAACUAGGGUUUGAUAUUUCAGAAACUAGAUGUGUAUUUAUUAUUAGCUAGGUUCAUGCUUUGAAAAAUGGCAUUUGAAAGAGAAAUAGGGACCAGCUGAGGUAGAAUUGAGUUUAGGUAGGUGAAUAAAACUAGUACUCAUUUGAAUGCAUACUUUGUGAUGUAUCAUAUGUUAAUUACAUGUACAGAUACUUCAUAUCAUGUACUCAUUGCAACUCUCCUACAAAGUUAAUCCUCUUCCCUACAAACAAAAACUCUUGUUAGCACUCGAUAAGUCAUAUCUGACACUCAUUUCCUAUGAAAACAUAAUGGAAGAACUACACUUUAAUGAUCGUAUCAUUAGUUUAUUAGAGUAAACAACAACAACAAUCAAGUUUUAUUUCAUUAAGUGGGGUCGAUUGUAUAAAUUCUAGAAUGUCCAUUACUCUUGGUUUUGCGUCAAGUCUUCUUUUAGCUCCAGUACUUCAUAUCUUUCUUAUAGUUUCUUUCCAAGUUUUCAUAGGUCUUUCUUUACCUAUUUUCCCCUCUGAGGCUCUAUCUCGUUGUCGUAUCGUAUAACUGAAUCAUCUGUAAGUCUUUGGUUCACAUGUCCAAACCACCUUAACCGAUUUUCUCUCAUCUUAUCUUCAAUUGUAGCCACUAAUUUUUAUGCUACACUAAUUUUCUGCACAUGUUGCUUUUUGACCACCUAACAUUCCAUGUCAUAAAGCAUUGCCGUCUUAUAAAACUUUUCCUUGAGCUUUAGUGGCACACAACAAUCUCACAACACGUUCGAUAAAGAAAAAGAAAGAAUGCGUCAGGUAGUCAACAGGCGACCCUUUAUGCUUCGUGUCGAAUCCCAAUAAUAUGAGUCAUUAUUUUGAAUCGAUAACUAAUUUUUACUGCAAUUAAAAAAGACAUCCAAAUGAAACCAUGAACAUUAUGAUGGAAGUCAUCACGUAUUUUUUUAAGCGAUAUUGGGAGGAAGUAUACUCAAAUACCACACCUCUUACAAACAAAUAACAAUAAUAAUAAAUUUAGAUUCUGAAUGUGCUGAUCAAAUCUUGGGGUGAAUAAUUAUACAAAUUGUCUAGAUUUGCUAAUAUUGGGCAUAUGUUUACCAAUUCCAAGGUACAGUUACAAAUCAUAACAAAGAAACUGCUUUUGAUUAGGGGUGGGCACUUAGAACCGAAAAUCGAAAUCGAAACCGAAACACGAACCAAAUCGAACAACACUGAACGGUUUGGUUUUGUGGUUUUGAAAUGGUUUCGGUUUUGGCUUUUGAAAACCGCACCAAAACCAAACCACACCACAAAUAUUAAUAAACAUUUAAUUAAAUGUCCAUAUUAGAUUUCAUGUUUUAAUUGGUUGUUUGUUAGGAUCCAUACAUUUAGUAUGGAGUCAAGCACACUAGAAUAUCAUCAUUCAUCACUUUCUUUCGUUCAUUAACUCGAAGGACCAUUGUUAUUUUAUACCAUCACACACACACACACACAUAUAUGUACAAGGGUGGACUAAGCUUGUUAUCAAGAGUCGAACAAUGAUCUAAUGAAGUCCACUCAUUUGAAGCAUGAUAUCACAUAUUCUAGUAUGAAAGUUUCGCUCACCUUUACUGAAUUCAAAGUUAUUCAACUUGCUUUAUGUUAUACCUUGUAUGGGACACCCUUUUGUUGCACAAACAUAUUUUAACAUCACAACUGCAUGCAACAUGCUAAUUGUUUACAUAACAAAUGUCUUUUUCCUAUUGCUAAGAAAUGCUUAUAUAUAUGUUAAAUUGCAAAUUGUACAUUUUUUCUUAAAAACCAAACCGAAACCGUUUGAAACCGCACCAAACCUAUCCAAACGGUUUGGUUUCAUUUCGGUUUUAACUUCAAAACCGCACCGAACCAAAUUGUAAAAAAUUUCGAUUUCAGUUUUGGUUUCACUCAAACCCGCACUGAACCAAACCGUGCCCACCCCUACUUUUGAUUGAAGUCCUAAGCCCAAAUCUCUCACUUUCUUUGUAACGACCCGUCUCCAAAAAUUAUGACUUUUAUAAUUUUAAAAAUGUAAAAUUACAAAAAAUGCCCUUCGAGGCAAAGACGUUGACUUUUGUUGACCACCUUAUUGUGUCACGUAAGAAUCAUUUUCUUGAUGUACUUGGAUAGUACUCGUCGCUAUGAACGUGUGGGCGCAAACGGAACGUGAUUUGGAGUUAUAACGAAAGAGAUACUAACGUUUAAAGUUGGGGGCAUUUUUACGUAGGUAUCAUUUCCUUGUUCAUAUCUUUUCUUAGUAAUCCUUCCAUAUUAUUCUGGUUUAGUUGUAUGCUCUGAACAUAUAUGCUAUUCGUAUGCAUGUUUCAAAUGGCUUCGUCACCCUCAGGUGUCGACUAGCAUGUGUCUAUCUUGAUAUCCCAAAUAUCAGGGUUGGGGUGUUUCAGUUUGGGGCGUGUUAGGGGGAAGCGACGUCAUCCUCACUAGUUCGAGCAAUUCUCGAGCAAUAAAAUAUGUGAGUGGACCCCUUCAUAACUUAUAUAUUUUUACAAAAUAUAGCCUAGCAUGCAUUUCAUAUUUCAUGCAUUUAAUAUGUUUUAUAUUAUGUUUUCCGGGUUUCUAUCAUUAUGGUUUAUAUAGAAUUCAUGAUUUAAUUAAAUUUCUUUACGAAAUAUUUAUAAUUUAUAGAAUUCACAUUUAAUAAUGGUUAUGAAUUAUUGGAAUUUUAUAUAUGAAACUCCUUGGACUUACAAAUAUGUUUUAUAUACGAUUUAUGAAUUGAGAUUUCGAACCCUGGAGUUUUGGUGAUUUGGCUGGAGAUUUUGAGAUGUUUUGGUACUUACGUAGUGGGUUAUCAAACAACACAUCUGCACACCACGGGUAUUAUGUCUAUGGCCAUAGGACACAUAUGAUGAAGGAGUGAGAUAUGAUAUAUUAUAUACCCCUAGCUUCAUCGUUGAAAGCGGUAUUGGACAACUUCACUAGCUACGGCUAGUGUCGAUGUGGAUGUUAUGCUAUUUGAUUCAGCUUCACCUGCGGGUGAUGGACAGGUUAUUCAGCUUCACCUUCGGGUGAUGGACAUGUUAUACAGCUUCACCUUCAGGUGAUGGACAGGUACUGCCUUCGGGUGACUAUGGUACCCAUAGUUGAGUACAACACGAAUAUGAUUUACGAUGUUUCAUAAAUGUUUUACAUUGCAAGCUAGGGUUUUUCAUAAAACUAUAUGUAGUACCAUAUGCAUGUUUUCAAAACAGGGGGUUAGUAUGUUCAUAAAGAAAAUGGUUUUCCUAUUACUAGUAUUAUUAUUAUAACUUUGGUCCACUCACCUUUUCUAUUUUUAAGCCCGGCGUCAGGGCUUUAUGGCAUAGAUAUCCUCGAGUCUUCUCAACGUAUGUGAUAGGGAUUUUACUUCAUGUGAAUGGGAUAAAAACUCCUAUAAUACUUGCAAAAAUCACAAGGUGGUUGUAGUAUAAACGGAUCUCGCAAUGUCAUUUUCCACAGGGAUUAUUAAAUAAUUCGAAACAAACCAAAUUUCAAUUAAUUAUUGUAAAGUAGAAAUUGAGAUGAUUGAUUUUAUAACCUACUUAAAAUAAAAACUAAAUUAUUUAAUUAAAAUAAACAAUCUGCAGUAUUAGAACUGGAGGGAAAAGAAAACAGUUUUGGGAGAAAUCAAAUUAAGAAAGCACUAGGGUUCCACCAUCACCUAGCAAUCCUAUGAAUUUUUACCAAUUACUUAUGAUCUACACAUGCCACUUUGAAGGUUAGAUUUUCCUAAUUCAUAUUCUACUUGGAACCUCCAACAUAGAACAUAUAUCUAACAUGUAACCCGUCCGGAUGUUCGGAUCAAAUUUGAACAUGAAAGACUCAUUAUGCUUUAUGAAAACCCUUUGAAAAACCAUGCAACCCUUAAGACGUGAUGUUCAUCCUAAGUGAAAUUACAAUUAUUAAUCACAAGAAACCAGCAUCAAUUUCAGGGAACCUUCCGACCAAAAUUGCAUCGAAUUACUUUUCUAAAGAUCCUAAUGGUGAUCAGGCAUUAAGACAAUUAGAUAGUUUUUAUCAUGGUGAUUAACAAUUCAAAGUAUGCAUGCAAUCAAUCAUAAGCAAUUAAAUAAAAAUCACAUAUUCAUACUAAGGCUCAAGGCUUCGCCCUAGCAAAAGGAAUUAGUUACGCAUAUUCAUAAUUGAAAUCAUAGAAAAUGUUAUUAAGAAAAGGAUUGAAAACACCUUCAAGUAGAAAAUCUCCAAAACCUUAGCAAUCCUCCAACUAGAAUUACUCCAAAAUUCGUCCAUUUGGUCAUGUGUUUCUCCAGAGGAAAUUGAAAGUCCUAUAUUGAAAAUACAAUUCGAAGUAUCAAAAUUCUUCCAAAAUAUUAACCAAAAUAUACUAAGAUUAGGGUAAAAAUAUAUAAUAUAAAAUCUACUCAUCAGUAUGUAUCAUCCCUUUAUUCGCAUCUUUUCCUAGUAAUUCAUUCAUAUGAUUCUUAGCUAGUUGUAUACUCUGAACACAUUCAUGUUUUAGUAUAAUCGUUGUAAUUGCAUAUAUUUUAGUUAUAUGCGUGUUUUAAAUAGCUUCGCCACCAUCGGGUGUCAGCCAGCAUGUGCCUACCUUGGUAUAUGGGGAUAUCGGGGUUGGGGUGUGUCAGUUUGGUAUCAAAGCAUGUUUUAUUCAGAGCAUACUUAGGAUGUUCUCAUAUUCUAGCAGUGUAUCAAUCUUGAUAUCAUUUGGAUGUCAUGGCUUCCGUUUGCUGAUGUCAUUCGGCACGGUUGUACAAUCCUCAUUCAGCAUGAAUAGUUACAUCUUAUUAGAAGCAUUAGAAGUUCGUGUCGGGAUUGUGCCUCAAUUUAGACGUAAUUGAUUGAAUGAUGACUUUCAACAUCAGACUGAUACCCUGCAAUAUGCUUUCCUUAGGAAUGGCAGGCAGAGUCGGUUUUUCAUAUAGGUGACGUGAAAUAGAGAAAACUAGUGGGAUUAAGUCGAGUUGGGAUCAUUUGAAGAUCGGAGCCUGUGAUGGUACUUUGCGACCUGUGGUCCUUUAGAAUGGCAAGCAAAGUUAUACCUGUUGGGAGAUUACUCAAAAUACCCGAAGUUCGUGUUGGAGAAAAAUUAAGAAAACAUCAAUUAUAGACCGAAUCAGUUUUCCUGGGGUUUGUUAUUUUCACUAAGGGAAUUUAUGUGGACCCUUCGAAAAAUCUUCUCAGUAAUUGUCUUAGUAAUAACAUCCUUGUCUACUCCGACUAUGAGGUUAGUUAUUAGACAUCUACAACCAGCUUUAUACAAAUUCCUCAAAGGUCGACCCUGUUUAGACUCGAAUCUUUCUUGAGAGAUGUGAGCAUAACAGAGAUUGUUUUUAUCAAAUUCAAUAUUGUGAUUGUGGAAAUCAAGAACCCUCUCGAGUUUCGUGAAUUAUGAAUUAUCAUCGGACUUGUUGACUCCUAUCGACAGUUGUCAACGAUUCUUUGACUAUAUCCGUAUUUCCAUUUUUCUGUGGCUAGGAAACCAUUUAGUUUUGUUUGAGAUGUUGCCUCACCCUACAUUGUUCUUAAACUCUUCAGCGACAUCAAUGAAUUUUGAAUUCGACAGUGGUGUUUUACUGAAGGUAUAGUUGUGCACUGAUGCAGCAUAUCGGGUGACACAUUUACCUUUUGACGGUUGAGACCACAUGAUGUAAACCGUCCUAUCUAUGACCUUGAGUCAUCUGCCAUCAUCUUGGUUUGGAAAAUUGAUGACACAUCUUCGUGGAGGAAUGGAUCAGAUCGUUAUUAACCUUGCACAUUUCUCGGUUAGCUUCACUCGAAAAUAGCUAAGUCUCGGGGAGCAGUGAUGGUUAGGAUUUACCGAUGUCUACGAUUGUACCAUCGCGUGCCACCCUGAUUAUGCAAUUGUAGUUACUGACAACGCAGUAUAAAAACACAUAUAUACCGAGUACUUGUGGUGAUGUUACUUUUGAUCAUUGAGAAACUUUGUUAGUUAAGUUUCAAGUUCGACUUUUCUACAUUGGUCUGAGUCGACCAAGGAAUUGUUUAGUCCUUUAAUAUAAUUCUUCAUUUUUGGAAUUGUCAGACUCUCCGACGUCUUGGUUGCGUCGGCUUUGUUCGUACCCUUAGUUUCACCCCCUAGCACUUAAAGAUAUCUUAGUUAACCUUGGGUUACUUUUCUGUUCUCCGUAUCAUUUUUGAAAUACACAGACUGUCCAGGAGGACCACUUAGACAUCGAAACUUUUAGUGAGAUCAUCAGUCCUUGAAUCACCAAAUCAACAUCCUAUCGAGCGAAUCUUCACCAUUGGUAAUUUGACAUUUCUGGAGUUACCAUUGUAACGAAAUUCAGUAAAUCUUGGUUCAAGGAAAAUCUAACAUUCCGUCCAUUAGCUUCAUUUGACCAUCGUUCAAGUUGAGCUAUUAUUCGACCAUUUCAAUUACUAUCAUGUAAUCAAGUUAAGAAGUUACACGCAUUCAAGUAGCAGAGUUGUAUAUUCACUCUAGAUAUCUUGUACUCUGGAUUGAUGAACUUGUUUUGACCCUCAUUCUUGAGUGUUAUUUUAGUCUUUUCGACAUGGUUUCUCGCUAAUUUAGUGAGGAAUUCGAGAUAGAUCGAUUUGGCAGAUGCGUUCGCCCAGUUUCAUAUCGAGGCUAGAAGGAACAAUUAGAGCAUAAUCUUCUCACGAGUUUACCAGACUUACCAAGAAGAGUUUCAAGUGGUCUUGAAGAUUGAGCAAUAGUUCAGUAUGGAUUUGGUGAAGGUAUAUAAAUGUAGGUUUUGAGCUUGGCGAUUGUGGCGUUAAUUGCCAUGUGUGACUUGAGAUUACAACUGUCACUCGAAUGAUGUGGUAAGAGAUAUGGUUACUCUAAUUCAAGCUUUCAGAUCUUGUACUCCUCGAUUUAAAGUGCGACCAUAGUGGAUAGUCAUGAAGGAAAAACUUUACGAUAUGUGUUCGCCUUUACGCAUAUUUCGACUAUUUCACUCCAGGACUUAAUGUUCGUGGGUAUGUGGAUGUGAAAGCAUUUCUAGCAGCUCUGUGUGGUGCGCUUUGGAGUAGUACCUCACAUAUGGGGCACAUGGUAAUUUUGGUACCAUGGGUACCAUCAGGAAUGACACGUCCCGACCCUGAUGUUCUAAAUUGUCACAUCCCGGCUCGGGCCCCUACCACAUCCCUGACUCGACUCCGCCGUAGCACGAUAUUGUCCGCUUUGGGCCCCGGCCACACCCUCACGGUUUUUGUUUUUGGGAACUCACACGAAAACUUCCCAAUGGGUCACCUAUCAUGGGAUUGCUCUCGCGCGAACUCGCUUAACUUUGGAGUUCCAAUGGAACCCGAAGCCAGUGAGCUCCCAAAAGGCCUCGUGCUAGAUGGGAAUAUAUAUAUAAGGGUUAAUUUUAUUUUUAGGUUGCAGGAAAAUACGGUGUAUAAUCUUGGGAGUGCUUUUGAUUCUACUCUCAUCUCUACUAUGAAUAUAGGUUACAACCCUGCCCUGUGUAAUCCAAAAGCUAAAAUCACACCCUCUCAAUCUGAACUUCAUCGUAGAUGUACUCUUUUUCCCUCUUAAUUGCUUCUUAGGGCUUCUCUGUUUUGAUUUUUAUCAUCCAAUUUGUUAAAUUUAUUGUUAAUUUCAGGGUACUACCAGUUUUCUGCUGACUCUGAUUCCACACUUCAGAAAUGUAUGCCUCUAAUUUAUGAUAAAUUUUGCCAAUUUGCUUCUCUUGAUUUGGAAAGGUAUGACUCCAAUGACUUUGUUUUCCAAAGCCAUCGUAGCAUCUGCAUCCCCAGUUGUAGAACAAAAGCUAAUCCAAUUGCUAAUCUUAGCAUCUGCAUCACCAAUUCACCAUUAUCUUUUUAUUUUGAGAGCAUUUAUCGAAUAGAGGGCAACUACACAGUUUUAUAUCUUCGAUAUACAAGUAUCAAUGCUGAUUUCUUUUGUUUACUAAAUACAUGCAUAAUCUGUGGUUCGUUUGAACUUUGAUAUAUGUCAAACUUAUAAUAAAGGUAUAGAGCCGGAGGUGACGAUGUGGUGGAAAAGUAAGUCUUCUUACUUUCCGCUCUAGCUCAUAGUACAUAAUCUUUCCAACUUUGACUAGAAUUAUAUCCACAACUCAUUUGCUGGCUACAAGGACUGGAUAUAGAAUAAUGGUUUAAUAAUGGUUUUAGAAUGGUAAAUGAUCGCAGAAGCAACAUGGAAUUCAAUAGUUGAUAUUUUGACUAUAAUUACUUUUUGACACUUAUGUAUUAAAAAAAUAGCAUCCUAUUAUAUAUCUGUUACUAUGAGUUUAAUUUCUUUCAAAUUCUUCCAUAAAGUGUGAGAUUUUCUAUUUUGUAUUAUCAUCAUUGCUAGCCGGUAAUUUGAGAUCCUUUUUCUUUUAGUUAAGAAAAUAUAUUUUCGCAAAAGGCCUUUGAGAUAGGUUUUUUUUUUUCUUUUCUUUUUCUUUUUAUCUAAUUUAUCCUUCUAGAUGAUUUAGUUUAUUGGGAUAAUUUAUUAGGAUACCAGCAUAUAAAUAACUUAGUUUAUUGGAAUUUGCUAUGUGGUGUUGCUUUUAAGCAAAUUAAGUACAAUAAAGUGCAAUCGUGGCUUCUUCUUGCUCUGUGUUUUGUUUAUUGGGUACCUAUUUGUGGUUUUCCUAUAGGUCUCUAAUGUGAAAUAGAAAGAUGUUGGCGGUCUUGAGGAUGUGAAGAAAUCGAUUCUGGAUACUGUUUUUGUAGAAUACUCAUCUUGAGUUGUUGAAUGUUUAAGAAUAAGUUGUAGCAAAUUGUAAAAUAAUUGCUUGCCACUGGUAGCUUCUUAAGCGGAAGAUCCUAUUCAAUUCCUUAUCUCAUUGUUGGAUUUUCCAUUCAAUUCCUUAUCUUACUGCUGUAUUUUUCAUGGAGUUUGGGUGCACAAUUACAAGGAGAGAAAGAGAGGGUGGGUGCAGUUAUUUUCUUUUUCUAUAUGCUUCCUUUCCCAAUUUGCUUAUCUGGUUGUUGGCGUUCGUCUUCCUCCUCAAGGUAAGGACUUUUCAAUCAAUUUCUGAAGAUUUAAUAUGGGUUUUAUUGUUUUAGUUCGAACAUUCACGGAUCUAUGAGCAAUAAUUUCAGAUCUAAUGGUUUUGUUUUCGAAUUUUCCUAGCUGUGUAGUUCACCAUUUUUUUUGCUUCUGAAUCUGAAAAAUGGAUUGAAAUUUUUUAUUUUAUUUUAUUGCUGUAGACAUAACCCAGAAUUUUUUUUUUUUUUUUUCAUUUGGUGAAUUGGGUUUGGUUGUUGUACAUUUUUCUCUCUGCAUCUACACAACGUUGUUCUACCAUGCCUGGGUUUCGAAGUUCCAAAUCCAAUUUAAUGCUUCAUCAACUCCACUUAAAGGUUCCUGCAUCUCUUUCUCUCCUCAAAUUCUUGGCCAAUAAUUUUAUAAGCUUCAGGGAAAUUAUGCUAGAAGUGCUUAAGCUUUCUAUCUGUUUAUUUAUUUUAACUUUUGUUUUAGUUGUUUUUAGAAUGAGUACAAUUGAAUUGCUUGCCUAUUAUUUGGUAAAAGUGCUUUUCUGUGAAUAAUCAUUUGUUAAAUAUGCUUUUGCAUUUGAAGAUUGACAUUCAUGUUGCAAGAAUUAAGUUGUGAUAGAUUAUUCUGUAGUCCAACUGCGAAUGUGUUGAUGAAGAGCUGGAACAUGUAUACACCUACUUUUAACAACUCUGAUUGUUAGGGUUUUCUGGUUUGUUAAUUUGGUAUUUCCUAAAUCUUCACUGUUAGGUUGAGGGGAAAAUUGCAAGUUAUAAGGUGUAAAUUGUAUAGAUUUUUUGUCAAUUUUAUUCUUCAUUCUGAAAUUUGUGUAAUUGGUUGGCUCAAAUCUUUAUUUGAUCUAACCAUUCCAAUUUGGCUAAUUUGGUUUUUAAUUUUUGUUUAGGUUUGAUUAUAUUGGGGUUGAGUUUUAAAGUGAGGGUGCAGGGGAACAAGGGUGCAUGAUGUGCGCGUAGGGUGCAGGGGUUUCAGGGGCGGUAGGGGGUGGGGUGUGCCUGUGAAUUGCAGAGCUGCUCAGCUCUUCCUCUAUAAGAUGAGUUUCAUCCCUGCCUUAAUUCACUUAAAUCCUGUGAUUUCAUGCCUUUUUUGGUUCUGAUUUCAGAUGGUGGUUUCAAUUUUUGCUUUGUUCUGCCUCUAGACAGCUGCCACCACCACUUUGUCCAAAUCUGAUGGCUCAGGCUGUAGCAUCUGCGUGAAUCUCCCCGUACAAUUGGACUCCGCGAUGUUUUCCAAAUAAACUCCAAACCCCAAAGGGUGCGGCCGAAAAGUUAAAAUCUGAGACAAUCAAAUCCAAUCCAGGGAAGAGAUUGGAUAGCUUCUGAGGUGUGGCUAUGAUAUGUGCCGACAAUUCCAAAUGGAGAUGAUGCUGAAGAAGAUUGUAAGUCAAGCCUACUCACUAAAUACCUUAGCAAUUUUAGUGACUGGUCUGAGCUCACCCUAUAUAUAAGAAGACAUAUUGAAAUAAUGAUAAGAAUAUGGUAAUUCACAAAUGAUUAGGAUUGUGUGAAUGUUAGUUUAAAAUGAAGUUUCUUUGUUAGAAUUAAAAACCAUGCACGGUGGAUUUUUAUAGGUGUCAUGAAAUUUUUAUACCAGUUUUAUUUUAUGGGAAUUAAGUGCAGAGCGGUUUGGGAUAUCCGUGCAGCUCACAUAAGAAGAGAAUCACAACUUUUGGGCUGAGAGGUAACUGGGAUUUGUUCUUCUGGAUCAGUUUUAAGGUUAGGUUUUUUUUUUUUUUUUUUUUUUUUUUUUUUUUUUUUUUUUUUUUUUUUUUUUUUUUUCGCUUUCGGUUGUUCUGGCAAGUUUUGUUGUAGUGUGUGUGUCCAUCAUCAUGUCAUUGGAAUCAUAUGUUUGAAUUUGGAUUUGGAAUGGUUUUUCUGAUGUUUGUAUUUUUUGUAUAUUAUAAUUCAGUGCAGGUUUGCGUUGGAUAUAGGAUAGUCAUGGAUCGGUUCAAAGCUUGGCUAAUGAUAGUUUCAGAUCUUGAUCAUACAAUGGUAGGUUCUGUAACUGGUUUUGUCAUCAUAGGUUCUGUAAUUUGAAUAAUAUAAAUUAGGGUUUUUCGGUUAGUGUCCAAAGGAUGAUUCUUUUUGUUAUCAUGCAUAUUUAAGCUGUAAACAUCUGAAAAGCUGCUUAAUUGAAGUGAAAUUUCCAGUUUUUGAGCCCGAUUUCAAGUCUUGAACUUUGAAUUUGGCUAUAUGUAGAUCAGCUGAAGCUAUCUACAUCAUAGUUUAAAGUAUUUGUAUUGGUAAUUAUGUGUUUAAGUUGCGCAACUUGAGUUGCCCCAAUAUCUUUUGUGUGCAAUUUGGUUUAGAAAUGUGGGUUUUGAUGUUUUGGCAGGCAUUGGAAAAAAAAAUAGAAAUUGGUUUUCGCUCAAUGCAUAGUUAAUCUUAAAAUACGGUUUAUUAAAUUGGGUUCAUGAAUUAUGGGUGCUAGCAAAUUAGCGACAUCGACUCCUAUAACGAAGAGGUUGAUGAGAGACUACAAGAGGCUGCAACACUACGCAAAAAGGCUGUUGAUGCUGCUGGUUUUUUUCUGUAAUCGAUUUAGGAGUUCCUAUUGUAUUCUUAAGCAUAACGUCUGACUGCCAAUGACAUAUUCUAUUGCUUUCUACAGCUGCCAAUGCCUAAACCUCCAACAAAAUGGAAACUUUUGCCAAAACAAAAGGUCAAUCAUUACUGCAGAAGCUGAACAAUACUUUUCCUCUGUUUUUUUUUUUUCCUUUCAUCUUCCCCCUUCAAGGCUUUGUUUUGGUUCUCAUAUGUGGCCAUUUGGUCGUUGAGAAAUGUAGUUGGAUUUAAGAUUUUGAGAAAUUGGACCAUUUUAAGGAAAAUAUCAGAAUUUGGGAUUGGACAUGUCAAGUUGUUAUAAGAAAAGUCAUAGGUAUCCACGGACGUGAUUGCUAUCCAUUUGAAUUUUGUUACAAUAGUUUCCCUUUAGCAUAAUUGUUGCACUGAAUUUGUUUUUUGAUGAUUCAAUUUGGGUUUGAAAAAAUGCUGACUGGUUGAAAUUUGAAAUUCUGUUAAUUUUCCAUUCAGGUUGAACAAAAAUAUCUCCAGGAUCCCCAUUUUAUUAAUUGUGUUGUUAAGGUAAAUUUUCUUUAUCCCUCUUGCAGAUUAAUUUUCGAUGGAUUAUGUCUUCUGAGUAGUAUACAAGCUGGACAUUGUAUCUUUGAGAAAGUUUAUGGUGUAUAGUUUCUGCAUAAGUUUAUUUUGGGAGUGGUAUAGAACUGUAUAUGGAGCUUUGUGGUGGAAAUUUUAUGAUUUUAUGUAUGGUGGAUGAAUUGAAUUUGGAAGGAAAGCAACUCAAUGGUUGUCUUUUUCUUUUUUAUUUAUUGCGAAUGGCAGAUUUUAACUAUGACUGUCAUUGAAGAUUUAUCUUGAAUCUGGACAGGUUUUUUUCAAUUGUUAUUUACGAAGGUUGUGACUCUUCAUGUUGGCACCAAAAUAAAGUUUGUAGAAGGUUGUUGACUGACGAUAAAAGGUAGCUUGCAAUUUUUUUUUUAAUGAGUCUUAUUAAAUGCAUUUGAGUACCACAUAAAUUUACUCAAUUAUUUUAGCAAUUAGGAAAAUCACUCUCUUCACUAAAACUGUUAUUCAUUUACAUUAACAACUUUUAUUUUUCCAAAUUGUAACAGAGAAGUAUGCAUAUCAUGAAAAAUAAAAGAUGGAAGUUCUGAAGUGACGACCAAGAAAUGAGACUUAAGUUUGAGUUUUGAAUUGGAGUUCUCAUGCAAGAAGAAAGGUCACUUGAGUUUUGAGUUCCUAUAUAUUUUCAUUGUUUCAUUUAUACAUCUUUUGGAGGAUUGGAGGGGAUUGGGAGGCAGAUGAGUGAGACUUCCGAUGGUUACACAGAAAUAAAUGGUCUCUCGCAUAAUUAGGAAGCAAUUGCUAAGUGAGGAUUCUCCGUUUCGCUUUGGAUAGAAAAUAAUUAAGUGAAAAUGCAUUGAUUUGGUUUUAAUUUUCCUAAUUUCUUCAACAUGUGUAUUAAACUAAAGCGAAAUGCUUAUUUCGGCGUAUGUAUUGUAUAUUAAACUCAACUAAAUGGAAAUGUUCAUUACAUUGCAUGUGGUGUGUACUUUGUAUUUUACAGACCUAUGCUUUAUGUGCUAAUGUUUUAUUGUUGUUGGUGUAAGAAUUUAUAUUAAGUACUAGCAAACAUAGUGUUUUUGCUCUUGCAAGGAAAUUGUCUUUUUUCCCCAGUACUUUUACAAGGAUUUAGAAUGGAAGUGUGUUGCAAAUUGUUCUGUUUAAUGGAAAUAUAGACAUGCAGGAUGGAACCGAUCACAUAUCCCUCUGUUCAUUCAUUAUUAUGUUGAAUUUAUUUAGGUAAAUGUUUCUUAUUCAUCCAGUUACCAUUAGUACACUGACUUCCCGCAGCAUAGUGCGGGCUUAUUUUCUAGUACAUAAUAAACCUAAGAAUGCCAAGAUAACAGCAAAUCUUGCAAUUUCAAUGGUGAAAUCCAACUGCUAGUGCGAUCUUCUGCUGGUAAUUUAGCAUCGGGGUAGAUCUGGUGGAGGAGGAAUUACAGUCUGUAAUGGUCCGAUUCCGUUCUCGACUAGACAAGCCAUAGCCAAACCCAGGAAGAGAUGUGAAUCUAAGUGACAGUGCAUCAGCCAGACGCCUAAUUGGGUCAAGAAGUAGAAAGAUAUCAAAAUAGUGAACAAAUAUUGGUUAGAUGAAAGCUUAGGAUACGAGAUUAGCAUGUUACCUGGAUUAUCAGCCUUAAAUCGUAUAGCUACCCAUCCCCCUGGAGGUGUUCCGAUGGUAUUUCUCUGUGGCGGGUCAAUGAGGUUGAAUCUCGCUGGAUCCGUGCUGGGGUUGUAGUUUCCAAAUCCUGAUCCAAUCACGUAGGAAUGGCAUCCAUGAAAAUGCAUAGGAUGGUCAUCAAUAGUCACAGUACUUGUGUCCUGAAACACUAUUUGUACAUUAGCACCGUACUUCAACUUGUAGAGCUUAGUUCCACGACAAGGUGACCAUAGCCCCCUGGGCACAUUUCCGGUGUAAUUGAAUUGCACAAGAGGAACAGGUGGAAAGUCUGUGGUGAAGACACCGAGGACACCAUAGUAGGCAGCUUGCAUUGAGGAGUUGGUACUUGGUAAUGCAAAGGAAACAUUGUUCAUGCUAGCUGCAAAGCGGGUGUUGUUUGGUCCUUGACACCAAGGGCUGUUGGGAACCGUGCAGUUAUAAGGUCCUAAACCCACAGUGAAAAACAGGUUCUCGUCAAUCUGUGUGGGCACUUUGACCUGGGAUGGGCUCUUUAUCUGAGCAGUGUAUGCAGUAGCAGUUGCUGUGUCGUUGUAAGCUGGCAAUGUAGGAAAUACUGGUGCUAAACCUUGAUUUGAAGAAGCAGCAUUCUUGUACUCAAGGAUAGCAGUGGUGGUGGUAUUGUCGAAGGGCACAUUCUGGGCAGUCUGAUAGGCACGAGCAGCCAUGUAGUACCGAGCAGGGCGCUGAUCAGCAGUAAGCAGAACAUCGGUUGUUUGGCCAGGGCCUAUCAUGAUAACUCUGGUUGUGAGAGGUUCUGUGUAAGAUGCGUCAGCGCCCACAACAGUCAGUUGGUGGUUGGCAACGGUAAAGAAGAGUUCUUGAUUGAGUGCUGAGUUGAUCACUCUCAGGAGAAGUGACUCGCCCGAUACAACUGGAAUUCGAAUGGUUUCUGCAUCGCCAUUUUUUUAUGUCAACACAUUAUACAUCUUUUUAUUUUUGCAUAUUUAAGCAAGUGGAAUUUAGCAAACCUUUUUUGGAACAUCUGUAAAGAUCACCAGGCUGUCCAUUAAUGGUGUAUGCAUCAGAGACAUUUGGUGCUCCUCCUGUGAAAGCCGCAAGCCUCAUGACAUCUUGGGGGUUUCGAUCAAACCAUUCCCCAAGAAGAAGGGGAACUUCUCGUUGUGGCAUCGGGAAGGGGUAGGGAGAACCCAAUCUAGGGUAGAUUAUGAGGGCUCCAUAGACACUGGCUCUGAGCCAUCUGCUGUGAGCAUGCCACCACAACGUGCCCUCUUGGUCUGUGAUUGUGAACCUGUAUGUGUAGGUAGCUCCUGGUUGGAUAGGGCACUGUGUGACAUAUUCGGGUCCUUCUUCCCAUGGAUUGUUCUGCUGCUUCCGUCCAUGCCUGAAAGAUACAGAACAGUGAGCAUUACAUAAACUUGGCACGGACACUAGACAAACAUUAAGCCGUAUAUAAACCACGAUUUAGUUUAUUAGCAGCGGAAAAUUCAAAAUCAUCGUAAAUUAUGAUGAAUGAAUACCAGUGGAUGGUGACGUUGUAUUUCUCUCUGUUGGUAACUUUGACGGCAACGGAAUCUCCAUUUCUGACUUCCAAAGUUGGUCCUGGGAACUGGCCAUUGACUGUGAUUCUGCUGUGGGUUCUGCACAGCCUCUUCACCGGCCUCGCUUCAACCUAUUUCGAAAUUUCCACGCGCAAAACAAAGGCGUUAUGAAUACGAAUACACAAAUAUGAACAUGGACGCGAAUACAAAGACGACUAUAUGUAUACGAAAUGAAUGAAUGCGUACGAAGAAUUCAUGGAAGUGAUCUUCUGCAGCAGAGAAGGAAGCUAAGAAAGUAAGGAAGGCAAGAAGGCCAAGCAGAAGGGUAAGUUUGGAGGGCUCCAUUGCUUUGUUGGUGGCAGUGUGUGGCUUGUGAGUUUAUAUAUAUCUGGAUCAAGCGGGAAAGCCGAAAGUUCAUUUUCCCAGAGCAACAAAAGCGACAACUAGUUUGAUAUUUUGACAAAUUGCCCUCCUCGGUCAACAUUCGACACUUGCGUGGACAUAUUAGUCCAACCAAACAGGGGACUUGGUUCACCCACUAUGCCCUGCUCAGUCAAAUGUUAAAAAAAUGCUUAGCAUCUCAAAGGUUUGGUGACUCUUAUUAGUGCCUCAAUUUAUUAGGGAUUGAGAGUUAUGCUUUACUUUAUGCGAGCAAUCGAAAAGCUUCGUGGUCAGAAAAUGUUAACUAUUAACGGUCAAGUGUACUAUUUUGUUGUUGGUGGCGGAUCUAUGGUACGAUUUUUUUACAUAAUUUUUGACACGUUUUUGUGAGGCUCAAUUCAUAAUGUAUUUUAACAAUUUGAACCAUCUAUCUUUUAAAAAAAUCAUUCAUAGAUUAUACUUGUAAAAAUUAGACAAGUUCAAACCUAUUAAGACAUUCAUUUGUAGUGAAGGAAACUGACAAAUAUUGUUCUACAAAAAAAAAAACUAAACGCUUAAUCAAAUGGUUAUAUGAUUUCAGAUGUUGGUGAUUUUUAGUAUACGCUAUAUUUGAGGGAAGACCUAAAAGAUAAACGGUUUGGAUCGUCAAAUACAUUACGGGGUAUGCCCCGCAAAAACGUGUGUCAAAAUUUAUGUAAAAAAUGCAGUGCCACAUAUCCACCCCCUUCGUUAUAUCCUCAGUUUAGACUAAGGCUAAUAACGUAACAUGUUAAACUGUAUAGCAAGACAAGAAAAUUUUAUUAUUGUUCUUAUUUUGUACUUCAUCAUCUCCAUCCUUGGCAAGUGAAUCACACCACCACUUGUCCAUCAUCUAUCAUGCCUCGUGAGCCAAGACAUUUUGAAGCAUUCUAAAUUGACUCAUUCACCCAAACUUUUGUGCUAUUUCACUUGUGCUUUUCAAAACCUAUCAAUUAUCUAGGGACUGUUAAAUGGGGGUUGAAUUUUGGUUUGAUAUGGUAGGGAGGAAGAAGAAAAGAAUCUUUUUUUUGUUGCAUUACGUAUAAUCUACGAUCGAGUACCUGACAAAAUAUAUAUAUUUUAACGGGCAAACUUACUAAGAGAUGUAUUUUACAGACAAAAAUGAUAUUUUUACUAUAUCUUUCAUACAAUAUUUGUACCACUUUUCUAAUGGAGAUUGAACUAGACCGGUUAGUGCUUGUCGUUUUCGUGUCAAACUUAUUAUCUUAACAGAUCGUGUCGUGUUAAACCUGUUAUUUUAACGGGUUCUAAACAAGUUACCCGAUCCGUCAACAAAUCGUGCAAUAAAUUGUCAUGUCGAAUAUCUGAUCUGGCAAACGAUAUCGGGUUCUUAACUACUAACCCGAUAACAAUCUGAAUCGUUAAUGGGUUGACCCGAAACUUGUUACUUUGUGUCGUCUCGUGUCAGGUUAACAUGUGACGUCGUGCAAUAAAUUAUCAGCCAUCAUAGAGCCCCAUAUAUUGGUGAGCCCUACUCAUAUUAGAGAGGUAGUACAAAUUUGAUAUAAAAAAUAUGGUAAGUAUAAAAUUACUCUUCUACGAGUGAUUAGUCUACAAAACAAACAAUUGAAAAGUAAGACUUGUUAGAAAACCAAAAGGAUUAAAAAUAAUAGGGUAAACAUCCAAUUUAGUCCCUAAAUUAUCACCUUAAUGAAAAUUAGGUCUCUAAACUAUUUUUUUCAGAAAAAUUAGUCCCUAAAUUAUAAAAAUUUGCCAAUUACAUCCCUAAUGUUAUAUUCGAAGCUACUAUAUUCAAAUUUUCGUCAAUUUAAGUCACGUUACUUGCAUGUGAUACACAUUGGAGGGUAGAUUGGUAGUUUUUCAUAAAGAAAUAGUACAUGGAGUUAACUUUGGAGGAUAAAUUGAUAGUUUUUCAUAAAGAAACAGUGUAAGUUAACUUUUGAGGGUAAAUUAGACAUUAAAUUCGCAACCUAUAUGAAAUGUUAAGGGCUUAUAGACAAGAAAAUGUUGGUAUUACACUCUAAAGUGUAUCAAAUGACUUAAGUUGACGAAAAAAUGGAUAAAAUAGCUUUGAAUAUAAUAGUAUGGAUGAAAUUAGCAAUUUGUAAUGAAUUUAGGGACUUAUUUUACCAAAAAAAUUAAUUUAGAGACCUAAUUUUCACUAAGGUGAUAGUCCAGUGACUAAAUCGGCAUUUCACCCAAAAUAAUAUGUUCGAAAGCAAAGUUAGCUAACGUUACAAAAAAAAAAAAAAAAAAGCCAAGACAGCUGACACUUUCAAAAAAAAAAAAAAAAAAACCAAAAGCCAAGUCAGCUGACACUUUCAAAAAAAAAAAACCAAGUCUGCUGACACUUUCAAAGUGUACGGACAUUUGAAUGGAAAUGAUCCUUGCCAAAUCCUUUUCUUAAGGAUCCUAAGGAUCUAGCAAUCGUAUCCGUUUAUCGCAUAUUAUGCGGUCAGUUUUCGUUAGGUACUAUUUAUAUUUGAAUUUUAAAUUUUAAAUAAUUUAUGAUAGCACAAUGUACAAUGAAUGGACACAAUUACAGGAUCUCUAAGAUGAUCAUUUCCCCAUUUUUAUGAUGGUUUUUUUUCAACGUGUACGAGUAUUUCUUUGAUGGUAUUUAUUAAAACAUCAAUCAAGGCACUAAUUCGCAUGAAGAGUAGUUAAUCUUGUGUUCAUUAGUUCUUAUUGAUUUGAGAUGAAGCAGGCACUCUCCAGAUAUUCAAUGUACCAAGAAGAUCUGUCUUGGAGGCUCCCAGCCAAUUAGAUAUGUUCUUAUGAGAUGUAACUAGGUACCAUAUUUGACCAUAAAAGUUAAAAGUUCUUUUGAAUUUAAAAAAAAAUAAAAUAAAUUAGACAAUUUAUUUUCUAGAAAGCACUUUUUUUUUAUUAAAACUUUCCAUUUAUUCCUGAUAGAAGCAUUUUACAAUAACCACUUCUGAGCAUAAAUGCUUUUUUUUUAAAAUAACUCAAGCAUUAAAUUAUCAUCAGCAAUACAUUUUAUCACUUUUAUCAUCAAUACGCUUCAUUAAUCUAACUCGCAGAAAAAACAAAAAAAAAAAAAUAUCUGAAUCACAUGAAGCGACAUGAACCAAAUAACCAAUACUUCGAUCAGCAACAUUUCACAAAAUGCUUGACAAAUUAUGAGAUGAAAUACCAGAAAACAAAAAUUGGAGGAUACAUUGUCCAAAAUAUUGUGCCUAAAAAAAUUACUAAAGUUACAAGCCUGUACACUGCCCAACAAGAAAAUUACAGCACAACUACUAACAGAACCACCGCCGGCACAAAACCGCGAAAAAAAAACAGUACGAAAGUUUUACUGACAAGAGAAACGUCCAUCUCCUUCGAUCUCUUCCCUCGCUGGAUAACGAAAAAUUGAACAGCGCAUGAAACAUCACAUUAACUUUGACAAUCAUUCUUCAUACUUGAGCUAUCUGCUGUUUCAAUGUCUGCAACAGCUUUAGUUUGGAUUCACAGAUCCGUAGAAACUCAGACAGCACCGUACAUUUCCCAGUUAUCAGCUUUCGCGCGACAUCAGUUGGACUCCAAGACUUCAAUGCUCGGGAGAUUCUAUCACCGACCUCUGUGUCAUUUACGGAUGAGAUACAGGUUUCUAAAAUAUGGAAAACUUGCCCAGGGCCUUCGUUCUGUCCUUUAUUCUGCAAAGAGGAGAGUAAUGUCUCCAAACUUUCAUCCUCUGGCCUGUUGAUCUGUUCUCUUAACCAUUUCAUAACUUUUUCCAGAGUAUUACGCAGAG